GGGCUGCUAGCUCAACUGGCAGAGCAUCCGGCUCUUAACCGGGGGGUUCGAGGUUCGAGUCCUCGGCAGCCCA
RNAcentral lists this transfer RNA (73 nucleotides) under Candidatus Acetothermia bacterium. RNAcentral describes it as "tRNA-Lys". It matches the Rfam family "tRNA". Rfam says of the family: Transfer RNA (tRNA) molecules are approximately 80 nucleotides in length. Their secondary structure includes four short double-helical elements and three loops (D, anti-codon, and T loops). The record is from RNAcentral. Lineage: Bacteria; Candidatus Bipolaricaulota. RNAcentral also lists the same sequence under 1 other name.